CGCAUGCCUAGGCCUCCCAAAGUGCUGAGAUUACAGGUGUGAGCCACUGUGCCCGGCCUGUCGGAGGAGUUCUGGAGUGUGUGUUGCCAUGCCAGCAUCACUACAAUGGAAACAAUGAGCUCAGCCAGCCCCUCCCACAGUGUCUGCACCCCCUCUGCAGCCCUCCUUCCCCAGGCAGCCACCAGUGUGUCUGUCAUCCUGCGUAGGUCUGCACUUUCUAGACAUUUACACAAAUGCAUUCACAUGGCAUAUAGUUUUUGCUGUGAUUCUUUAGGCAUAAUUACUGUGCAUUUCACCCAUGCCGUUACAUGGACGAACAGCUCGUUCCCUUUUAUUAUUAAGUGAGAGUUGAGGAUGUUGCAGUUGAUGGUGGGUUCCAGCAGGUGCUACAGAUGCUCAGGGAUGGUUGAGUCUCUUGGGAGGGGCAGGGCACAGAUGGAGAUGACACAUACUGCUGGGUGAAGAGUGGUCACUGGGCCUGGCACUAAGGCAGCAAGCCAGGGUCCCCUCAGCCCUUGGACGAAAGCCCUUCAGCACCCCCGGCUGGAGAGGUGGCCUCAGCCAUCAGCCAGUGGUGGUGCUUCUCCUUGGUGCCCCUAAGUGGGUAAGGUUGUGUCUCAGAAGGGUGACUUUGGUAGAAGUUCACAGAAUGUUCUGGAAAGGUGAGUGACCAGCUACAGGAGGUCACGCAGGAGGCGGUGGCAGCUGCUGAGAUGAGGGGAGUGAGGGCCAGGAUCACAGCUAUGAAGAGGGAAACAGGGAAAGGCAUGGAGAGGCGGACACUGUGGGAGCGCCCCCCAGAGCCACUGCCUGAGCUGAGUGACAGGGAGUGGCAGGAGGUGGUUAGCAGGAGAAUGAAAGACCCAGCUUGCUGGGAGACUGGCAACGUGAGCCACAGAAUGCACAGCCGAAGCCAUGCUCUGUGGCAAGAGGCACCCGGCCUCAGUGCUGGAAAGCACAUCACCAGGCUGCAGGAAGAGCCAGGUGGUGAUGAACUGCAAUGAGAUUUCCACUUGAUUUGGCCUCAGGAAGAGCCUGGACCUUGCGCUGACUGACACUCUGCAAGUGUGGGGGCUGCACCGCUCAUGAAAGCAGCUGGGUCUGGUGAGACCAAGGCAGAGCUGGCGCUCAAGCCCAUUUCCAAAGUCCUGUUAAGGAAAUAUCUAGCAGUAGGAUGUUUUUCAGGUCUUUCUGACACAGGUGACAGUAGCAGGAUUUUAUUGGAAGGCCCCACACAGGUCAGGAUUUUACUACGAAUAUACUUGCAUAAUGCCCGUCCCCGAGGGAGAAAAGAACAUUGACCAUAAGGAGCAAGAAAAUUUAAUGAAAAUGCAAGUUUUCUUUUACCUCUUCAUUGAGGAUAAAAAAUAAAUUUUCCAAAUCUUAACUAUAUUUUCCAGGGAAGUCUCUUUUAUUCUCUGUUAUCUAGUUUUGAAUUCAAGAGGUAAGAAGUGGUGUGAUUUUGCCUUACAUCACUCCUAUGAGCCUCUGGUAUACCUGGUGUUCACUGGAAACUAAAGUGUAAGCAACUGGAAACGGAGUGACCAACUCCUCCUGGUUUACCUUCCUGGCUUUAGCACUGCCAGUCCUGUGCCCCGGAAACCCCUCAGUCUCAGGCAGCCUAGAAUGGUGCUGGCCCUGCUGGAAAUUCCCAAGGCCGCAGCCACAGCAAGGGUGGAGACAGGAGCAGGAAGCUGCAAAGAAAGGCAGCAAGGGUUGAGGCCUGUUCUCUGCUCACUUUCCUCUGGGGUUGGGGGGAAAUUAAUGGGACGUUCAGCCAAGUAAAGCAAGGAUGGGGCAGACCAAGAGGCCGAGGUCAUGAAAUUUUCCAUGAGAAACGUGCCUGCCCUGUACCAGGAAGAGGAGAAUGUUCUCAUCACCAGGGACUGGGAGCUCACCCCGAAAUGGAUCUGUACAAACCCACUAAAAUAACCCUUGUCUUUCAUUAGUCACUGCCCCACAAUGACUGCCCCUAGAAACGUGAAGCUUUCUCCUUUGUCACUUCUCCAUAAAUUUAUCAUCUUUUGUUAAAAGAGUAUGUAAGCUGUUAGUCCUAAUGGCUUCUUCGGAUCUUCAUUUUUCUUAUGAAAGUUCACAUGUGCCUGUAAAAAUAUUAAGUAAAAUAUGAUGCUUUCCUCAUGUUCA
Molecule: long non-coding RNA, 2145 nt
Organism: Sapajus apella (tufted capuchin)
Lineage: Eukaryota; Metazoa; Chordata; Mammalia; Primates; Cebidae
Exons: 3
Source: RefSeq, a predicted model, not a curated record